RNAcentral lists this ribosomal RNA (301 nucleotides) under uncultured bacterium. RNAcentral describes it as "partial 16S ribosomal RNA". It matches the Rfam family "Bacterial small subunit ribosomal RNA", at positions 509 to 809 of the family's 1533-position model. The record is from RNAcentral.
CAGUAGCCACGGUAAUACGUAGGUGGCAAGCGUUGUCCGGAAUUAUUGGGCGUAAAGCACGCGCAGGCGGGUAGGUCAGUCUGUCUUAAAAGUUCGGGGCUUAACCCCGUGAUGGGAUGGAAACUGCCAAUCUAGAGUAUCGGAGAGGAAAGUGGAAUUCCUAGUGUAGCGGUGAAAUGCGUAGAUAUUAGGAAGAACACCAGUGGCGAAGGCGACUUUCUGGAUGAACACUGACGCUGAGGCGCGAAAGCCAGGGGAGCGAACGGGAUUAGAUACCCGCGUAGUCCCUGUCUCUUAUACA